RNAcentral lists this ribosomal RNA (119 nucleotides) under Leptobrachium leishanense (Leishan spiny toad). The record is from RNAcentral. Lineage: Eukaryota; Metazoa; Chordata; Amphibia; Anura; Megophryidae.
GCCUACGGCCAUACCACCCUGAACACGCCCGAUCUCGUCUGAUCUCAGAAGCUAAGCAGGGUCGGGCCUGGUUGGUACUUGGAUGGGAGACCGCCUGGGAAUACCAGGUGUUGUAGGCU